Molecule: ribosomal RNA, 600 nt
Filed under: uncultured archaeon
Lineage: Archaea
Description: bacterial SSU rRNA
Rfam family: Archaeal small subunit ribosomal RNA
Source: RNAcentral
UUAUUGCCAUUGGGAUCGGGACUGCUGUCUAUCAGCUUGUUCGAUGAGGUUAUGGCCCACCCACGUCGAUUACAGGUACUGGCCUCUGAGAGGAGAAGCCUGGAGAUGGGUACUGAGACACGGAUCCCAGGCCUUAUGGUGCGCAGCAGGCGAGAAACUUUAGCAAUGUGUGAAAGCACGACUGGGUCAGUCCGAGUGAUUCCUGAUAAAGGAGUCUUUUGCCUGUCCUAAAAACACAGGUGAAUAAGGGGUGGGCAAGUCUGGUGUCAGCCGCCGCGGUAAUACCAGCACCUCGAGUGGUCAGGACGUUUAUUGGGCCUAAAGCAUCCGUAGCCGGCGCUGCAAGUCUUCGGUUAAAUCCACCUGCUCAACAGAUGGGCUGCUGGAGAUACUACAGCGCUAGGGAGUGGGAGAGGCAGACGGUAUUCAGUGGGUAGGGGUAAAAUCCUUUGAUCCAUUGAGGACCACCAGUGGCGAAGGCGGUCUGCCAGAACACGUUCGCCGGUGAGGGAUGAAAGCUGGGGGAGCAAACCGGAUUAGAUACCCGGGUAGUCCCAGCUGUAAACGAUGCAAACUCGGUGAUGCAUUGGCUUAUGGCCA